RNAcentral lists this ribosomal RNA (252 nucleotides) under uncultured bacterium. RNAcentral describes it as "partial 16S ribosomal RNA". It matches the Rfam family "Bacterial small subunit ribosomal RNA", at positions 524 to 776 of the family's 1533-position model. The record is from RNAcentral.
UACGGAGGAUGCGAGCGUUAUCCGGAUCUAUUGGGUUUAAAGGGUGCGUAGGCUGAUCGUUAAGUCAGUGGUCAAAUUGAGGGGCUCAACCCCUUCCCGCCAUUGAAACUGGCGAUCUUGAGUGGAAGAGAAGUAUGCGGAAUGCGUGGUGUAGCGGUGAAAUGCAUAGAUAUCACGCAGAACCCCGAUUGCGAAGGCAGCAUGCCGGCUUCCUACUGACGCUGAAGCACGAAAGCGUGGGGAUCGAACAGG